Molecule: ribosomal RNA, 335 nt
Filed under: uncultured bacterium
Lineage: Bacteria
Description: bacterial SSU rRNA
Rfam family: Bacterial small subunit ribosomal RNA
Source: RNAcentral
AAGUGGAGCAAUCCAUGAGUAUAGUGGCGACCGGGUGAGUAACACGUGACUACCUGCCCUUGAGUGGGGGAUAACCUCGGGAAACCGAGGCUAAUACCGCAUAAUAUCGCAAGAUCAAAGGAGCAAUCCGCUUUUGGAGGGGGUCGCGGCUGAUUAGCUAGUUGGUAAGGUAAUGGCUUACCAAGGCGAAGAUCGGUAUCCGGCCUGAGAGGGCGCACGGACACACUGGAACUGAAACACGGUCCAGACUCCUACGGGAGGCAGCAGUGGGGAAUUUUGCGCAAUGGGGGAAACCCUGACGCAGCAACGCCGCGUGGAGGAUGAAGCCCCUUGGG